UACGAAGGGGGCUAGCGUUGUUCGGAAUUACUGGGCGUAAAGCGCACGUAGGCGGGUAUUUAAGUCAGGGGUGAAAUCCCAGAGCUCAACUCUGGAACUGCCUUUGAUACUGGGUACCUAGAGUAUGGAAGAGGUGAGUGGAAUUCCGAGUGUAGAGGUGAAAUUCGUAGAUAUUCGGAGGAACACCAGUGGCGAAGGCGGCUCACUGGUCCAUUACUGACGCUGAGGUGCGAAAGCGUGGGGAGCAAAACAGG
This 254-nucleotide ribosomal RNA is filed under the name uncultured bacterium. RNAcentral's name for it is "partial 16S ribosomal RNA". It matches the Rfam family "Bacterial small subunit ribosomal RNA", at positions 524 to 776 of the family's 1533-position model. The record is from RNAcentral.